AAGCAGGCGAUGAUGAAGACAACAGUCAUGCACCACUCUGAUGAGGAUUCUCGUCUCAUGUGCUGACAACAAGUCUUAUACCCAUCUCCCUCUGAGCCGCUU
Musa acuminata subsp. malaccensis (wild Malaysian banana) is the source of this 102-nucleotide non-coding RNA. The record is from Rfam. NCBI's taxonomy places the organism in Eukaryota, Viridiplantae, Streptophyta, Magnoliopsida, Zingiberales, Musaceae.